GGGGUUGUGGCUCAGGGGUAGAGCGCUCGCCUGGCGCAUGUGAGGCCCUGGGUUCGAUCCUCAGCACCACA
Molecule: transfer RNA, 71 nt
Filed under: Marmota monax (woodchuck)
Lineage: Eukaryota; Metazoa; Chordata; Mammalia; Rodentia; Sciuridae
Description: tRNA.Ala
Rfam family: tRNA
About the family: Transfer RNA (tRNA) molecules are approximately 80 nucleotides in length.
Source: RNAcentral